GGUCCAGCCUGGGGACCAGAUCUCUGGGCCUCGGUUCGUUCUUGUCGCAGUUCUCAGAACUUCUGAGAACCGUGCUGCUGUCGCGCCGUCAUGCUGCAGUGCAGACCCCUGCAGCACCUGCAGCAGCGCUGCACAAACACCACCUGCUGCACGCGUCCCCCGACCAGACCUUCUCCUGCAAUCUUGCAAUCACCGAAUUUGCAGUUGGAGGCGAGAGGCGUGAGUCCACUCGUCCCCCAGAGAUAUGGCGCACCCAUGACAGUGAGGGCGAGGGCAGCAGCGAGGGCUACGAC
Hyalella azteca is the source of this 293-nucleotide long non-coding RNA. RefSeq lists it as uncharacterized. NCBI's taxonomy places the organism in Eukaryota, Metazoa, Arthropoda, Malacostraca, Amphipoda, Hyalellidae. The transcript is spliced from 3 exons. The record is from RefSeq and is a predicted model, not a curated record.